GCAGCCGGGCAUUUCGUCGCGCGUCGACUUAGUGAGCGAUGUGAGGAAAGUCCGGUCAACAUAGAGCACCAUAUUUCCUAACGGGAAGCUAUCGGCAACGGUAGGUAAGCAUGACAGAAAACAACCGCCGCACUCGUUUUUGAAAAAGAGCAGGGCGGUAAGGGUGAAAAGGUGAGGUAAGAGCUCACCGGGCGCCACAGUGAUAUGGCGUGCCGCAUGCACUAUGGGUUGCAAGGCCAAGUAUACCGGCAUUUAAGGGCUGCUCGUCCAUUGCCGGGGGGUAGGCUGCUAAAGCCGUGUGGCGACAUACGGUGUAGAUAAAUGACGAAACGCCACCUGUCACUUCGGGUGGCCGACAUAACCCGGCUUAUCGUCCGGCUGCACUU
This 386-nucleotide RNase P RNA is filed under the name Muribaculaceae bacterium. RNAcentral's name for it is "RNase P RNA component class A". It matches the Rfam family "Bacterial RNase P class A". Rfam says of the family: Ribonuclease P (RNase P) is a ubiquitous endoribonuclease, found in archaea, bacteria and eukarya as well as chloroplasts and mitochondria. Its best characterised activity is the generation of mature 5'-ends of tRNAs by cleaving the 5'-leader elements of precursor-tRNAs. The record is from RNAcentral. Lineage: Bacteria; Pseudomonadati; Bacteroidota; Bacteroidia; Bacteroidales; Muribaculaceae.